GCGGCAUGCCUUACACAUGCAAGUCGAACGGUAACAGGUCUUCGGAUGCUGACGAGUGGCGAACGGGUGAGUAAUACAUCGGAACGUGCCUAGUAGUGGGGGAUAACUACUCGAAAGAGUAGCUAAUACCGCAUGAGAUCUACGGAUGAAAGCAGGGGAUCGCAAGACCUUGUGCUACUAGAGCGGCUGAUGGCAGAUUAGGUAGUUGGUGGGAUAAAAGCUUACCAAGCCGACGAUCUGUAGCUGGUCUGAGAGGACGAUCAGCCACACUGGGACUGAGACACGGCCCAGACUCCUACGGGAGGCAGCAGUGGGGAAUUUUGGACAAUGGGCGAAAGCCUGAUCCAGCAAUGCCGCGUGCAGGAUGAAGGCCUUCGGGUUGUAAACUGCUUUUGUACGGAACGAAAAGCCCUGGGUUAAUACCCUGGGGUCAUGACGGUACCGUAAGAAUAAGCACCGGCUAACUACGUGCCAGCAGCCGCGGUAAU
Molecule: ribosomal RNA, 488 nt
Filed under: uncultured bacterium
Lineage: Bacteria
Description: bacterial SSU rRNA
Rfam family: Bacterial small subunit ribosomal RNA
Source: RNAcentral